AUUGGACGCUGGCGGCAGGCCUAACACAUGCAAGUCGAACGAGUGGCGGACGGGUGAGUAAUGUCUGGGAAACUGCCUGAUGGAGGGGGAUAACUACUGGAAACGGUAGCUAAUACCGCAUACCCUCGGAUGUGCCCAGAUGGGAUUGGCAAGGAGUUGGGGUAAAGGCUCACCUAGGCCACGUUCCCUCGCUGGUCUGAGAGGAGGACAAGCCACACUGUAACUGAGACACGGUCCAGACUCCUACGUGCGGCAGCAGUGGGAAAUAUUGCACACUGGGCGCAAGCCUGAUGCAGCCAUGCCGCGUGUAUGAAGAAGGCCUUCGGGUUGUAAAGUACUUUCAGCGGGGAGGCGUUACCCGCAGAAGAAGUACCGGCUAACUCCUUGCCAGCAGCCGCGGUAAUAC
Molecule: ribosomal RNA, 406 nt
Filed under: uncultured bacterium
Lineage: Bacteria
Description: partial 16S ribosomal RNA
Rfam family: Bacterial small subunit ribosomal RNA
Source: RNAcentral